RNAcentral lists this ribosomal RNA (178 nucleotides) under Agaricales sp. RNAcentral's name for it is "partial small subunit ribosomal RNA". The stretch from base 1 to 118 matches the Rfam family "Eukaryotic small subunit ribosomal RNA", at positions 1352 to 1491 of the family's 1831-position model. The record is from RNAcentral. Lineage: Eukaryota; Fungi; Basidiomycota; Agaricomycetes; Agaricales.
UAAAUAGCCAGGCCGGCUUUCGCUGGUCGCCGGCUUCUUAGAGGGACUGUCAGCGUCUAGCUGACGGAAGUUUGAGGCAAUAACAGGUCUGUGAUGCCCUUAGAUGUUCUGGGCCGCAACGGGCAGGGCCCAAUACCAAGCAGAGCUUGAGGGUUGAAAUGACGCUCGAACAGGCAUG